Molecule: non-coding RNA, 5315 nt
Organism: Equus caballus (horse)
Lineage: Eukaryota; Metazoa; Chordata; Mammalia; Perissodactyla; Equidae
Source: RefSeq, a predicted model, not a curated record
CGCCUGCAGCGGAGCGCGCGAACUUAACCACUCGGCCAUGGGGCCAGCCCCAUGAAAGAUUUUUUUUAACAAACGUCCAUGUAAGAAGUUAAAGACCUCAAAAAUAUCUGGAUUGUAUCACCACAUACUAGCCAUGUCAAUUCUUCUUAACCUAGAUCUUUCAGGAAACUGGGUGGACACAAUAGAACAUGUUCAAGUUUAGCCAACUAGAUUCUGUCUCCAAGAGUCUGGAAAUAGAGCAUUGAAAUGCUGAUCAAUUGGUGGCCCUAAAGUGGGGAGUUGUUGUGGUUCUAGGGCUAGAAUGUCCAUUUUCUGCCAUGUGUACGAAGAUGCAGAAAAAGCUGCUGUUUGGAAAGCACUGGGAAUAUAAUGCUUAGCAAGGCAUGCCUGGUCUCUGUCUUCAUGGAAUCUAUAGUUUAGUUAAAGAGACAUGAUGACAAAGAAGGUGAAUUCAGGAUACUUUGAAUACAGGUCCGGCAAUCCUUUCCUGAGUACUUCACAUUUAAGCUGAGAUCUCACUGGUGAAUAAAUGUUAACUGGGCAGAAAAGGGUGUAAAGAACUUUCCAAGGAAAGAGAAUAACAUAGAUAAAUGUUCUAAAGUGAAAGGGAGCAUCGUAUGUGAGUACUGAAAGGCCACUGGGGCUAUAGCAAAGAGAUGGAGCAAUAAGCAAGAGCUUAUAGACCAUGUGUAUCAGUUAGGAGAGGCUAGGUUGUGCUGAGUAACAAAUGACUCCAAAAAUCUCAGUGGCCUACAAUGAGGUUUAUUUAUCUUUCAUGCUACAUGUCCACCAUGGCUGUGCUUCAUGUCAUCUUCACUCUGGACUCAGGCUGACAGAGCAGUCUCUAUCUGGAAUGUUGCCACUGUCAUGACAGAAGGAUAAGAAAAGUGGUAAAUUGCCCACUGGUUCUUGAAGCAUAUGCUCACAUUUCUUUCACUUUUCAUCAGCCAAACCUUUGCCAUGCCCGAAAGCAACAAGAAGCAGGGCAUACUCCAACAGAAGGGACACCACAAUGAAGGGCACUGAAUGUGGGUGAAUAGUAAUUCAGUUCCACACCAUGUUUAAGAUUUUGAUGUUUCUUUUAGGAGCGAUGGAAAACCGUUGAAUAAAUUUUCCAUUUUUAACAAAUCAUUCUGGUCAUGUUGAGGAGAACAACAAAUUAUAAUUGGGCAAGAGUGGAUUGGGGAAGAAAAAUUAGGAGGUCAUUUCAGUUUUCUAGGCAAAAAAGGAUAGUACUUUAGACUAGGGUCGUGACACUGGAAAUGGAGAGAAGCCAAUAGAUUUAAAAGAUGGGAGGAUCUAGUAAUGUGCAGAGAAACAGAGGUGAGAGACUGUGUGGCCCCAGGAUGGUGGAAGAAAUGUGGCCAAAUUGGUUCCUGAUGUCUUACCAUUUGCUGGCUCCAGUCUUUUGGGAAGUUAAGCUACUCUAUGGUCUGUUUGUUCUUAGGUUUCCUGUGUUCUCCUAAUAAGUCUCCCUUUUUGCUUAAGUUAGUCUGUGUGUGUGUGUGUGUGUGUGUGUGUGUGUAUUCUCAAGCAAAUAGCCCUAAGACAUUAAGCCAAGGUGAGAACCAUCAGAGAAAGAGUGACACCACAGUCCUGGCUAUUGGGUUGAAGUAGUUAGGACAGCAAUAGAGUUUAACUAGUGCUGUCUCCUCUUCCAAUGACUCCUUCUCUAUCCAAUCUACUUAUUAUUCCCAAAAGAUCCUGAUACCAGCAAAUGUACAAAUUAUAAACAAUGAGUAUUUGUUAUACCCAGUGUGAACCUUCCCACAGCAGUUUGUUGAUACAUCUAUUUGGGCACUUAAAUUUCUUCUUUGUGGAUUCAUCGUGUACAAUCUUGUUCUCCUGCUAGACUUAAAGCCACCAGAGAGGGUCCAUGUGUCUUUUAUGUGGCCUAGUAUAGUAUCUCUUAUGAGUAGAUAUUGUGUGUGUGUGUGUGUGUGUGUGUAUUUCUGUAUAUAUUACAGAAAUAUUUUAGGAUAACUGUCAGCUAGGAACUCCCUCUCUCUCGGAAAAUUAGGUAAGCUUGCCUUGAGUGCCCAGUUUAGUCAACUCUAAAGUCAAGGGCCUCUGUUUCCCACUAUCCUGUUUUUAGGACUCUCUGACAGGUUGUUUAACAUGCUUGCCUGCUUCUGUCUUCCUCCACAAACACUCCUGCAACACUCCCCCGCUGCCUGUGUGCCUUGCUUCUGAGAAUAUUGAUACAGACCUGAAGCUCAACCCAUGACUAGUUACCUCCAACUGUCCUCAAGCAUUUAUGAAUUCAUUUAUUUGGUACCAAAGAUUUAAGAGGGAUCACACGAUAAAAUAUGAUGCCUUUUACCCUGAUGUUGGGUCUGCUCCUCUUUUUCUAUCCUCAGUAGAUUAACAAGCAAACCCUGCUCCUUUCCCAGGCUAUUACAGUUUGAUUGCACUCAGGUCCUUCUGAUUCUCAACUGUUUUCUCCAAACAAGUUAUUUGGAAAUUUCCCCCAAAGAUAUACGAUGUUCUCCUGAGAGGGAUACCAGAAAAUGCCAUUUUCUUAGCUUGGUACAUAAUCAUCAAAUGAAUGGUAACAUUUUGAAUUUUAUGUAUUUGAAAUAAUGAAAAAGAAAGUAUGUUUUAACCACCAUUGAGCAGUUGAACUUUUUGUUCUAACCCUCAGGAUCCCUUCAUACUCUUAAAAAUUAUUGAAGACUCCAAAGAGCUUUUGUUUAUGAGGGUUAUAUCUUCUGAUGUGUACUAUAUUAGAAGUUAAAACUGAAGAAUUUUUAAAACAUAAGCAUAUACAAACAAUUUCGUUAGCCAUCAGACUGCUGACCUCAUCCCAUGUCACAUGGCCUCUGAGACACUCUGCCUUCCACCUGUGGAAGAAUAAGAGUGAAAAAGUCAAGUAACAUCUUAAUAUUAUUAUGAAAAUAGGCUUGACCUUGCAGACCCCCUGAGCUGCACUUUGAGAACUCCUAUUCUAACCUGUAAGUCUGCCUCUGGUGUUUCCAGAUUAGUACAGUUUCUCUACGUGUGAAUACGAGAAUGUGAUCUCUGUGCUUCCAGAGUUUGAGAUCUACUAGCAUGCCAAAAUAAUUACAAGCUUCUGAGCUUUUCAAGUGAAACAUUAGUGUGGUACAUGAGAAAUUUUAGCCAUCCUUGUCAAAAUUAAAAAGGAAUACAGCUAUGAAGAAGUUUAUGUAAUACAUGACCAUCUUACUACUAGUGCUUCCUCUGGAGGAAAACUCUUCUGCAACUGUAAGAUGGCGAUAAAAAUCAGUAGGUAUAAAGAACUUAAUAUUGGUCAUACUAAACAUUUUAAAGGGUUUAGUACGUGGACAACAGGGAAGUGGCUUUCCCUACCGUCAUUAUGCAUCUACUAUCUGAAUUAGGGUAAAGCUAAACAUUUUGUAACAGAGACACCAAACACUAUGGUUAAAAGAACAUAAAAUCUGUUAUUCCCUUAUACACAGGAUUGCACAAAGUCAGCAAUCCAAUUUAUCAGAUUGGCUGUACUCCAUGAGGCCAUCCUGGGCCCCAGGUGCUUUCUGCCUUACUGCCCUACCAUCCACCAUGGCAUUAUUCUCAACUGCAUGAUUGAAGCUGGGUCAAGGAACUCCAUGAUCUACCCUGUGGGAAGGAAAAGACAGCAUGGGUGAUCAUAUGUCCUGUGUCUUAAGGCCCAGGCUCAAGAUUAGUACAAAUCAUUUCUGCUCCCGUUCCAUUGUGAGAAUGUAGUCUCAGCCUCAAAUGAGGCUGAGUAAUGUGCCCUCUGACUAGUCAUGAGCCAAGCCACAACUCUGGUACUAAAGAAGAGGGGCAGGGUGGAUUUUGAUGGAUAAUUCAUAGUAUUCAUCACAUAGACUUUUUAGUCAAUGAUUUUUGCCGUCAGCAAAGUGUUCUACUUCUCAGGCUUUAAAAUGCAAGCCCCAAAUCUGUAACUAUCAGAUUCUCUAGGGCCUAGAGUAAAUACAUUGAUUGCAUUGGUUUUAAAAAGAAGACCAUAAAUUCUUUGACACAGCAAGUGUUUCUAUGUUAAAACGGUUGCUGUCUUAGAAUACUCCCUCUCAGCUUGUGUUUUCUUAGAACCUAGCCACCAUUCUGAGAGAAAGCAAAGCCUCAUGGAGAGGCUAUAUGUAGGUGUUCUGGUCAACAGUCCCAGCUGGGCCCAGCCUUCAAAUCAUUCCAGACAGGAAAGACGUCCUACAGGAAAAUUCACCAAAACAGAGAACACAGGAAGACAGGGUCUACACUACGAAGAGUUCCACAGAAGGAGAGCUAAUCCUAGGGGAAAUUCAGUGUCCAGAUGUUUCAGAAUCCAGAUGGCCUAUGAAUCCUCUAUCACCCAGAAAGGAGGAAAAUGUGCAUGAAAGCGGAAGAUUGAAAAGAAAAAAAAUAAUUUAGGUGAUGUAAUGGCAGCAUACUGGGCUUAAGGAAAAGCUUCCCCUCCUAAAGCAGCAACUUAAUAAAAUGCAUGUUACAGUCUCUAUCAGCAAGCCAGAUUUUCAGCGUUGCCUCCUUUUUCCAUCACCAUUAAGAGGCUUGCAGAGAUCCACACUGUUUAAAGGGCAGACAGCAUGGAAGAACUAUCAUGUACAAUUUAAAGUAGCAGCUAAAAUUGGAAUGGUCACAAGAAAGCCUGUUUCUUUGCAAUUAAAUUGACAAGCUGUCUAUGAUUACCCUAGGGAACUUGGCAGCUGAGUGAUAAAAAGGCUGCAGAGUGUUGAAAGGUCUAACGCAACUUACUAGGUGGACAAAGACCACAUCUGCUUAAUAUACUGAUUGGGAGAGUUGUGGAAUGUACUUGGCUAAAUUAGCCGAGGAGGGAUACUAAUGAUCCUUUUUCCUCUCUAAGACCCUCUGCUCAGAACCUAUUUUAGAAAUUACCCACAAAUUUUUGGAAGCGUGCAUUAAAAAAUACUUUGGUGGAAUACCUGAUGUUAUUUAGCAUGCACCUACUGCUACAAAUCACCAGAAGAAUUGAGCAGAAAUUUAGAAAGAAAUAAUAAUAAAAAACAUCUUCCACCAAAUGUUUAUGAAGUUUAUAAAUGCUUGAUAUAAAAACUGGGUACCCAAGAGAAGAUUUAUAGUGAUAUCAACAACCAAAGAGUUGAAAGCACAUGGAUGAUUUAAUGCAAAAUAUUAGGCUAGAAUUACAUGAUAUUUUCAUCAUUGGGAGUCCUUUGAGUAGAGCAAAGCUGAAACUUAGGUUAUAAAGGAGAAGACACUAAUUUGAAAAGAUACAUACACCCCUGUGUUCACUGCAGUAUUAAUCACAAUAGCCAAGAUAUGGAAGCAAACUUAAUGCCCCUCAACUGAUGAAUGGAUAAGGAAAAUGUGGUAAAAAA